RNAcentral lists this ribosomal RNA (423 nucleotides) under uncultured bacterium. RNAcentral's name for it is "partial 16S ribosomal RNA". It matches the Rfam family "Bacterial small subunit ribosomal RNA", at positions 359 to 773 of the family's 1533-position model. The record is from RNAcentral.
GAAUAUUGGACAAUGGGGGGAACCCUGCUCCAGCCAUGCCGCGUGUGUGAAGAAGGCCUUUUGGUUGUAAAGCACUUUAAGCGAGGAGGAGGCUACUUUAGUUAAUACCUAGAGAUACUGGUCGUUACUCGCAGAAUAAGUACCGGCUCACCAUGUGCCAGCAGCCGCGGUAAUACAGAGGGUGCAAGCGUUCAUCGGAUUUACUGGGCGUAAAGCGCGCGUAGGUGGCCAAUUAAGUCAAAUGUGAAAUCCCCGAGCUUAACUUGGGAAUUGCAUUCGAUACUGGUUGGCUAGAGUAUGGGAGAGGAUGGUAGAAUUCCAGGUGUAGCGGUGAAAUGCGUAGAGAUCUGGAGGAAUACCGAUGGCGAAGGCAGCCAUCUGGCCUAAUACUGACACUGAGACGCGAAAGCAUGGGGAGCAAAC